This 24-nucleotide non-coding RNA is filed under the name Arabidopsis thaliana (thale cress). Lineage: Eukaryota; Viridiplantae; Streptophyta; Magnoliopsida; Brassicales; Brassicaceae. The record is from RNAcentral.
AGACUCCUGUCAGUUGCCUCUCCU